UAUAUGUUUUAAUUAGAACUUAAGCAUAUAAUUUUUAUUUCUUAUCACAAUAUUGUCAGGGAGUCCUAUCUAUCUUGUGGAUCAUGUAACUGCUUCUCUGGAAUGAUCUAGGAUGCAAAAUAUAUUGUCAGGUACAUCUGGAUAAAAUACAUUAUAAGGUGGCUAAUGGAGAUCCCAGAAUUUGUCUAUGGUAUCUAUGGUAUAAUCUUACAUGGCGGUUUGUUACUUCAGAUUAUGAAAAAGCCUGAGUGGAUCACUCCAGAGGACAGACUUGUCCCUAUCAAUAGUUUCUGUUCCACUAUUGCUGAAAAAGGAGUGAGUCCCAGGUAGCCUAGUUUUAUAGGAAAACCUGAUUUCUCAUCUUUGAAGUCACAGGAGCUAUGUUUAAAACCCAGCUCUUUUCACAUUCUAAUGAUAUGACCUUGGACAAGCCACUGGAUCUCUUAUUCCUCCUCGAAACUGAUGGAGUUGGACCGUAUAUCUGUAAGGUUCCUUUAAGUUCUAUUUUUCAUGAUUCUAUGAUAACACUUUACUGAUUAGUUUUUGCUGUGCUUAGUUAAUAGAAUCAAUAUUUUUGAUUAGAAAAGUCUAAAAAAUUAAGAUUUCUAACAUAUCUUAAGUAAAUUUACCUAUGACUUAAAUCUGAUGGUCUGGAAUAUUCAACUUAAGGAUGACAUGGCCUUGCUUCAUCUGGAAUGAUUAAUAAUAGAAAAUGUAUUAUAAGGUGGUUGACUAAUAGCAAUCUCACAUUCUGUCUAUGACCUUAUAUGGAGGUCAAUUACUUCAGCAUAUUAAAGAGGAAGUGAUAUUGAUUAGGUGGUUACUCCAGUGUAUAAACCUAUACCUACUGAAAUUUUCACUAGGUUGGGAUGGGAAAGGAGGUCUGGAAAAAGAUUCUACCCAGAAGGAAGUCACCCUACUCCAGUGGUUCUUGGCACCUACAGCUGCUUCUUCAUUCUCUAACAUCUCUGAAAUCCACUUUGACUUGGACCUUGAUUUGAAUCUUUGGCUUGGAGCUGGUGACUUGCCUCUUGGUGGCUUUGGACUUGGGACUUGGCUUCAACUUGGGACCUUAGCUCUUGGACUGCUUCUUGAAAGACUUCUCCUGGAUCUUCUCCUUUGGACUUUGACUUGGGUGAGUGAGUAGCUGGCCUUCCCUUCCUGACUUCUGGAGAGAUUAGUUCUGGAGAGGACUCCUUCUCCUGGAGGAGGCUGAGACAUCACUAAGUCCUCAGGCUGAGGGUUAAAUGAGCCCUGCCAGGCUGAGCUGGACACUGGAGCAAUAUUUAAUGUGAUAGGCUAGACAUUUUCUCUACUCUUUUCUUAUGUUUUUCUACUUUCACUCUUUCCACCUCUUUGUAAAUAAAAGCUAUUAAAAGUCAUUUUGACUUGAGCUA
RNAcentral lists this long non-coding RNA (1397 nucleotides) under Monodelphis domestica (gray short-tailed opossum). RNAcentral's name for it is "lncRNA (ENSMODG00000034734.2)". Lineage: Eukaryota; Metazoa; Chordata; Mammalia; Didelphimorphia; Didelphidae. The record is from RNAcentral.